GAUGAACGCUGGCGGCAUGCCUAAUACAUGCAAGUCGAGCGAACGGACGAGAAGCUUGCUUCUCUGAUGUUGUCAGCCGUCGGGUGAGUACCACGUGUAUAACCUACCUAUACGACUGGGGUAACUUCGGGAAACCGGAGCUAAUACCGGAUGAUAUUUUGAACCGCAUGGUUCCACAGUGAAAGACGGUCUUGCUGUCGCUUAUAGAUGGAUCCGCGCUGCAUUAGCUAGUUGGUAAGGUAACGGCUUACCAAGGCAACGAUGCAUAGCCGACCUGAGCGGGUGAACGCCCACACGGGAACAGAGGCAGGGUCCAGACUCCUACGCGAGGCAGCAGCAGGGAAUCUUCCGCAAGGGGGGAGAGCGUGACGGAGCACCAUCGGGGAAGGCAUGAAGGUCCUAGGAUCGGAAAACUAUGUUAUUAGGAAAGAACAUAAGUGUAAUUAACUGGGCUCAUAUUGACGGUACCUAAUGAGAAAGCCACGGCUAACUACGUG
This 497-nucleotide ribosomal RNA is filed under the name uncultured bacterium. RNAcentral describes it as "partial 16S ribosomal RNA". It matches the Rfam family "Bacterial small subunit ribosomal RNA", at positions 28 to 507 of the family's 1533-position model. The record is from RNAcentral.